AACGCUGGCGGCAUGCCUUACACAUGCAAGUCGAACGGCAGGCACGGGAGCAAUCCUGGUGGCGAGUGGCGAACGAGUGAGUAAUAUAUCGGAACGUGCCCAGUCGUGGGGGAUAACGUAGCGAAAGCUACGCUAAUACCGCAUACGAUCUAUGGAUGAAAGCGGGGGAUCGCAAGACCUCGCGCGAUUGGAGCGGCCGAUAUCAGAUUAGGUAGUUGGUGAGGUAAAGGCUCACCAAGCCGACGAUCUGUAGCUGGUCUGAGAGGACGACCAGCCACACUGGGACUGAGACACGGCCCAGACUCCUACGGGAGGCAGCAGUGGGGAAUUUUGGACAAUGGGCGCAAGCCUGAUCCAGCAAUGCCGCGUGCAGGAUGAAGGCCUUCGGGUUGUAAACUGCUUUUGUACGGAACGAAACGGUGAGCUCUAAUACAGUUUGCUAAUGACGGUACCGUAAGAAUAAGCACCGGCUAACUACGUG
Molecule: ribosomal RNA, 481 nt
Filed under: uncultured bacterium
Lineage: Bacteria
Description: bacterial SSU rRNA
Rfam family: Bacterial small subunit ribosomal RNA
Source: RNAcentral